RNAcentral lists this ribosomal RNA (496 nucleotides) under Fusarium oxysporum. RNAcentral describes it as "SSU rRNA". It matches the Rfam family "Bacterial small subunit ribosomal RNA", at positions 450 to 929 of the family's 1533-position model. Lineage: Eukaryota; Fungi; Ascomycota; Sordariomycetes; Hypocreales; Nectriaceae. The record is from RNAcentral.
UUUGUUUAUAUAUUGAUAAUGACAGUAUAUAUAUCGUGUCUUGACUAAUUGCGUGCCAGCAGUCGCGGUAAUACGUAAGAGACUAGUGUUAUUCAUCUUAAUUAGGUUUAAAGGGUACCCAGACGGUCAAUAUAGCUUAUAAAAUGUUAGUACUUGACUAGAGUUUUAUGUAAGAGGGCAGUACUUGAGGAGGAGAGAUGAAAUUUCGUGAUACCAAAGGGACUCUGUAAAGGCGAAGGCAGCCCUCUAUGUAAAAACUGACGUUGAAGGACGAAGGCACAGAGAACAAACAGGAUUAGAUACCCAAGUAGUCUUUGCAGUAAAUGAUGAAUGCCAUAGGUUAGAUUGGUCAAUUAUAGUCUAGGGUUAGUCUAGCAAACUAAUACCCUAUGCUAUAAUCCUAAUAUCUGGUCUAUAAAUGAAAGUGUAAGCAUUUCACCUCAAGAGUAAUGUGGCAACGCAGGAACUGAAAUCACUAGACCGUUUCUGACACCAG